Molecule: ribosomal RNA, 115 nt
Filed under: Pseudomonadales bacterium
Lineage: Bacteria; Pseudomonadati; Pseudomonadota; Gammaproteobacteria; Pseudomonadales
Also listed under: 2 other names
Source: RNAcentral
CCUGACGACCAUAGCGAGUUGGUACCACCUGAUCCCAUUUCGAACUCAGUAGUGAAACGACUUUGCGCCGAUGGUAGUGUGGGAGAUCCCAUGUGAGAGUAGGUCAUCGUCAGGC